Long non-coding RNA from Aedes albopictus (Asian tiger mosquito), 2258 nucleotides. RefSeq lists it as uncharacterized. Lineage: Eukaryota; Metazoa; Arthropoda; Insecta; Diptera; Culicidae. The record is from RefSeq and is a predicted model, not a curated record. The transcript is spliced from 3 exons.
AUUUCUUGACUUCUAACACUGUACACAUCAAUCGCGUUCGUAAGGUUUUGCUCGAGAAAAAAAAGUGAAAAAUGAAGGUUUUGUGUGAAGGACACUUGUUAUCGAUAACAUUGGGAUUAACGAUGAAAGCCAGAAAGGAGCUAAUAUUGACCAAUCAUUACAUUCGGAUGUAAAUUACCGGUAAUGAAAAAUGAUUCGGCCAUUUUUUGCAUUUGAGCAUCAAUAUCAAAUCAACGUCAACCUUGUCAUCAGCGCGUUCUGUCCAAGUGGAAAGAAGGGUGAUGUCGUCUGUCGGCAGGUCAUGGAUACACCAAUACAUCCAACAGGAAAACGGACGUCCUAGGCUGUAAUAUUUAUGCAAAAAAUGCGGUGCGUUCGCCUACAUAGUGAAAAUGGGAUAGCCAAGAAGUAAAAAGUAAGGCGCGAAACGAAGGUAUGCUGGAACCCUACAGCGAGCACAAGGAAGUGAAAGUUCAUAUUAUUUUAGUAUCAGUAAUCAUCGUAACAUUUUUUUUUAUUCAAGCAACAUUGAAGUAUUUGAUUGACGAUGGCUGGUUAGCAACACUACGACGCAUCAAACAUGCAACUUGGAAUUCGAAGAUGGACAAGUUAUAUUCCUGGCAGACGAUUUCGUCGAUUUUUGUUCUACAUCUACCCUGUAGAUCCGAAUUUGUUUGAAUAUUUAACAAGCGACAAAUUCGGUUCUAGAGAGGUUUGUGUGGGGCAUUUGAUUUCAUCGAAAGUAGAGCGCAUCAUGACACUGAAUCGACGAAAUCAGCUAUUUUAAGAAAGCAUCAUAAGAUAUCAAGACUAGAUUGCUUUUUUUAUUCUACAUGGAAAUAACUCAAAACAUUAGGUUUCUUUUGUGGCUCCUUAGUGGGUUAGUUUAAUCUAGAUGCAGAAUAGAAUUAUUGCAAGACAGUUGUGGAAUAAAACCCCCUAUAAACUUCAUAUAACUGAAUCAAGCAUAUUUUAUAGUUCUUAUUAUACGAAAACGGAUUUGCUCAUUAAAUUAAUAUAAUAAUUACCAAGAUCCAAGAAUAACCUAAUAAAACUGUUGAAAACUAAUUGUGAUGCUUGCUUUCAAGAAUAAAAAAGGUGAUGAAACAAUUACAACGUCUUAUUAUAACAAUUAUUUGGUGAUUUGGAGUAAUAAACCAAUUAUUGUACAAUUAUGUUAUAAACAGAAGAAUGCUCUUUUGAUUAAGCCAAAAAAAAUCUUUUUUAUUUAUUUUAAUUGUUGAACUGUGCGAGUAUAAAUAAAUAAAUAUAUAGUUGGUAAACUAAAUUGCCAAGAGAAACAAUUACAAUAAUUUCACGCCGAUUUGGAGAUUUACUAUAGCACAUCGAAGGCAUUUUUUACAAUUGUGUGUUUUUUUAGAAUUGGAUUAUUCUAUUGAAACUAUGUAUGUUUCAUGUGUGCUUACCAUUAGAACAAGAUAUAGAACUUGUCAUACAUACCUCACUUUGGGGCAAUCCAUUGAGAUACCAUUGCAAGAAGUGGCAAUAGUAAACUCGAACUAUUACCUUUCAAACAUAUCAGAAAUUCCAGAUCAUAGUCAACAAUUAAUGAGUCGAAUUUGAUAUCAUAUUUUGUUAUAGCAGUGCCUCUAGGUUCGACUAGAAUACCGUAAUCUGAUGACUAGUUGUUCGCUAAGGCAAAGUUUAUCAAUAUGGGAUCCACGCACUUUAACCUCUGAGGAUGUUACAGUUCGGCUCUCUUAUUGAGCCCUAAAAGCUAUCUGGCUUUGAAAGCAUUUGAUAAAUCGUUUUGACUGAUUACCAUUUUUGACGUCUAUUCAAUUGGACAUCACUCUUUGUUCGGCCCAGCAUUUCAUUUCCAUAUUGAUUGUACAGUUAGAUAUACCACAGAAAGGUUCUGGGCCUAUAAACUGCUAUCCCGAAUCCUGUUAGCUAUCUCAUUUGCCAUUUCAUUCUCUUCAAUGCCAUAGUGAUCUGGAGCCCAGUAUGAGUUCACUGAGUUCCCUUGGCAGUUCCCUCGCAGUGAAAGAAUGUAUUCCCAGACAAGCUUUGAAGUACAUUUAUAAACACACAAUGCUUUGAGUGCUGCUUGACUGUCUGAGAAAAUACAUAUUUUGGCAUACCUGUAUUUUCUCGCAAGGCAAAUAUUUACGCAUUUAAAAAAUAGCAAGAAUCUCCGCUUGAAACACCGUAGGAUAGUGUCCCAUCGCCACUGACGUUUCAAUUCCAGGGCCGUAGAUUCCUGCUCCCGUUUGAACUCCAAUUUUUGAGCCAUC